Molecule: ribosomal RNA, 301 nt
Filed under: uncultured bacterium
Lineage: Bacteria
Description: partial 16S ribosomal RNA
Rfam family: Bacterial small subunit ribosomal RNA
Source: RNAcentral
CAGCAGCCACGGGAAUACGGAGGGUGCAAGCGUUAAUCGGAAUUACUGGGCGUAAAGCGCACGCAGGCGGUCUGACAAGUCAGAUGUGAAAUCCCCGGGCUUAACCUGGGAACUGCAUUUGAAACUGUCAGGCUGGAGUCUUGUAGAGGGGGGUGGAAUUCCAGGUGUAGCGGUGAAAUGCGUAGAGAUCUGGAGGAAUACCGGUGGCGAAGGCGGCCCCCUGGACAAAGACUGACGCUCAGGUGCGAAAGCGUGGGGAGCAAACAGGAUUAGAUACCCCGGUAGUCCCUGUCUCUUAUAA